CCUACGGGUGGCAGCAGUGGGGAAUAUUGCACAAUGGGCGCAAGCCUGAUGCAGCCAUGCCGCGUGUGUGAAGAAGGCCUUCGGGUUGUAAAGCACUUUCAGCGGGGAGGAAGGCGGUGAGGUUAAUAACCUCAUCGAUUGACGUUACCCGCAGAAGAAGCGCCGGCUAACUCCGUGCCAGCAGCCGCGGUAAUACGGAGGGUGCAAGCGUUAAUCGGAAUUACUGGGCGUAAAGCGCACGCAGGCGGUCUGUCAAGUCGGAUGUGAAAUCCCCGGGCUCAACCUGGGAACUGCAUUCGAAACUGGCAGGCUAGAGUCUUGUAGAGGGGGGUAGAAUUCCAGGUGUAGCGGUGAAAUGCGUAGAGAUCUGGAGGAAUACCGGUGGCGAAGGCGGCCCCCUGGACAAAGACUGACGCUCAGGUGCGAAAGCGUGGGGAGCAAACAGGAUUAGAUACCCCAGUAGUC
This 465-nucleotide ribosomal RNA is filed under the name uncultured Klebsiella sp. RNAcentral describes it as "bacterial SSU rRNA". It matches the Rfam family "Bacterial small subunit ribosomal RNA", at positions 338 to 795 of the family's 1533-position model. Lineage: Bacteria; Pseudomonadati; Pseudomonadota; Gammaproteobacteria; Enterobacterales; Enterobacteriaceae. The record is from RNAcentral.